Long non-coding RNA from Temnothorax curvispinosus, 707 nucleotides. RefSeq lists it as uncharacterized. The record is from RefSeq and is a predicted model, not a curated record. The transcript has 3 exons. Lineage: Eukaryota; Metazoa; Arthropoda; Insecta; Hymenoptera; Formicidae.
AUGGACCAUUUCAGUGGCCUUACGUAUACCUUCUUCAUCCUCUGGGCCACUGGAGUCCAGAGAGCGCAGAUCAAACCUAAAAUUGCAGGAUGCAUCAGUAAUCAUCUUCAGUCGUAGGACAUUUAAAGAUAUUAGCAAUCACAUACGCAGUAGGACAAAUAACUUUGAUAUGAGGGGACCGCACUGCGCCCAUGGAACUAGCCCAGCCAUGCCUGAAAACAUUUAUAAAGUGCUAACAAGAUUUAUCGUUUUGCAACGUUACGAGUUACAUCCAUUCGCUCCAGACAUGAACUCACCCUGUAUCACCCAAGCCAUGGAAAAAUAUUAACUGAAACACAGAUUUAAAAUCCGCAUUUCGAGACGCGUCGCUGAAAGUGGGCACGACGGUGGAAGACCGGUGGCAGUACCCCAUUCUCGGAGAUGCUGUGUUUGAUUGUUCCCGUUAGGAUAACAGCCGCCGCGCCUCGCGGAAGACGUGCGAUAUUCGUCCAAGGAAAAAACCGACGACAAGAUCAAUCAGCGAGCAUCGAAACGGAGCAGUGAUAUCGGUGAUUUGCCGACGAUCGGGGAGAAGAGAGGAAAAAAGGCGCAAACGUAAGGGAGCAUCUUGCGCGGCGUAAACGUAAUUCACUUAUAAUCAAUUAGGAUCGCUCCACCGCGAGUGGUAUAACCAAAAAUUACCGCUAUGUCUACGUAAAAGAUUUGAU